Molecule: long non-coding RNA, 2310 nt
Organism: Passer domesticus (house sparrow)
Lineage: Eukaryota; Metazoa; Chordata; Aves; Passeriformes; Passeridae
Exons: 3
Source: RefSeq, a predicted model, not a curated record
GCAGGGGACGCUGUGGCACAAGCUUGGAGAACACGCUGUCAUGGCGGCUCGGCUGAGGCAGAAGGGAUGGAAGAGAGGCUUUGCUUCACAAACCCCCUGGGCCGCUCUGUGGGAAUGGACUUUCAGCAUCCAGUAUGUCCUUGUGAUACCUAGAUGAAGGCAAAAGUAAAGAAGAGAAAGGUUAAAAACUCCUCACAAAAUAGGACCACAAGAGGUGUGGAUUCUAGAGGUUGGAAGUCGAAGAGAGAGGAAAAUUUCACUGCAAGGUAACAGCCUUUGUAGACAUCCCACAGAGUGGAUUACUGACUUACAAGGAAGAGUAAUGGAUCUCAGGUAUCUGUUACCUAAAAUGUAACUUCUCAUUGCUUAUGGGACAUGUGGGACACGAUAGAGAAGCGGAUUCCACGACUAUGUAGGACAAACAAUAAGCAACUUUUUAUUUUGUUGCUAUUAGAUAUAUCCCAAUCCAGAUUAAUCCUACUCUUUCAGUAAUGCAUCUUUUUAUGUUGUUUAACCAAUCUGUCACAAAACUGGAAAGCUUCUUAAUGAAAUCAUUCAAUCACUUCUUCAUAUCCCCUCUGUUUUCUGGGUCUGUUGAAAUAAUUCAUAGAGUUGCAGAAAGUUUUUCCUUCAUGUUGCUUUAAAAAUAGCACUCCAGGUCUCUGUGCUUAGUUAAUGAAAAAACAAAAAAUUCUAAACAUUUUUUAUGUUUAGGACUCAAAUACCAUGACAAAUGCUUCUGAAAAUAGUAUUCCUGUUAGAAGUUUCAUCAUUUUUAAAAAUCACUAAUUUAGUAGUUACUCAACAUCAACUUAUAUAUUGUAUGUAUCAUAUGCAUAAAGCAAUGCUAAAGAGAGAAUCAAAAAAGAAUUAUCAAGGUGGAAGGGUGCGUAAGAAAAAAAUCUGUACAUUUAUUCUUUGGUUUCAGUAUUUAAUUAGGCUUAUCUUACUACUUAUGAAUGUUGGUAAUUUUAUUUGUCUUUUUGAGUUAAAAACAUUAGAAUAUUUAAUUAAUUGGGUUUUUAGCAAGUGAAUGUCUCCAACUUCUAUGUCCAAUGAAAUUAAUCCCAAAAUUCUUGUGUGGGAUUGUUGUCAUAUACAUGAGUGAACAGCAGAAACUUUUCGAAAUGAAGCCUUUGUGUGAUUGUACUGUUCAGCCUGCUCUCUGUCUCAAAACAGCAGAUCUUGAGGGACAAAAUGUUGACAGGCAGUGGCUGGAGAAUCAAUCCAUUAAAACUGAAAAUUAAAAAAAGACUUAAUGUGAGUGGCAAAAUAGUUUGGUCUUAAAGUUCAGCCUAGACCCAUAUGUUGUUAUAUUUGCAAAUUCUUAUUUAGGGAUGGCGUGUUCUUGGAUUGUUUUUUCUUUCUCUAUGAUCACAAUGAGACUAUGGAAAAACAAUGACUAUGCAAAUUGCUGGCAGUGUAUUAAUAAUGAAUUUAGUUCUCCUCAAUCUGUGCUUAUGAAAUUUUUGUCUUGUCAUCUCAGUAGGUAAGGAAAACAGAUAAGAUUUCAAUCAAACACCAGUUCUUAUACAAACCAGUAUCUAUAUUGGAGUGUAAUGUUUACACUGAAAUACUCUACCAGUACUGACACCAAGAAAUUGAAUGAAACCUGUUUUUCUAGAAUUAAUACUAGUCAGCAUGCGUCUGUGUAUAUAUAUGUAUAUAUAUAUAUAUAAUAUAUAUACACCAGCAGUUGGUAGUGAUUCUGCAUAUAUAUCUGUUAAAAUGAGUACAUUAUUAUUUAUGUUACCUUGUUUUGAAAAUUGCCUUAUAUUGUUUUACCAGGAGAAAAUGGCUCACAACCAGCAUGUCCUAUAUCAGUUGCUGAAGGCCUUGUGUUAUGCUUGCUUAACCUUAUAACCUAUAAAGCUGGUAGGAGAAAAUUUAACCCCAGACUAAACCACUGUGCGUGGUUCCUUCUACAGAGAGGUGUCAGGGUCUGGGGUUUCUUUCCUUUUCUUUCCUUGUUACUUGUGGAAUUGCUAAAAAGCACUGAUGGCUGGGUGCUUAAGAGGUGAGGAGGGGGAACUCCUCUGGUUUUUGGGAGUUUCUCUCAGAGGACAGAGACCCCCCAAGAAUAGAAGCAGGUAAAAGGAUGGGGGCUGGGGCAGUUGCGGAGCUCUCACUCAUUCUCUCUGGGCUUUGGGGGAGAACAGUUGAACACAAAGCCUGGGGAAAGAAAUUCUCUGCCACUGCCAUAACCCAGCCAGGAGCUGCCUUCCUUCUGCUGCUGGGCCCCGCAUCCCCUGCUUCAGUUUUCAGCUACCCCAGCAAAGCUUCUGAUACAUCUCAUCCACUGCCCCAGGA